Molecule: long non-coding RNA, 8250 nt
Filed under: Ananas comosus (pineapple)
Lineage: Eukaryota; Viridiplantae; Streptophyta; Magnoliopsida; Poales; Bromeliaceae
Description: long non-coding RNA (ACOM_LNC026059)
Source: RNAcentral
UUAGUUACUCAAUUGAACUAAACAUAAACACGAGCAUAAAUACAAAUAUGCAUGAGUUCUCUCUACUUCAUGGAGGUUCUAUUUCCCUUAUGUCAAACGUUAUAGCACAGAUGUUCCAAAUCCUUUAGCGACCAUAUAGUGACAAAACGCACGACUAUAUCAAUUAUAUAGUAACAUAUAGAACAUAGGGGGAGCUUCACUUGCUCUGGUUAGGUCAAACCGACCUAUUGCUAGGCUCAAAUCAGUUCCACGACGUCCCGAAAUUCAGCUCUACUAGACUUCAACCCUGCUGAAAACGAUGCAUCAGAACCGCGUCGAGACGAUUAAUUAAGAAUCCAAUUUCGGCAAAACUCUUAAGUAGAAUAAGGUAGUAACUUGAAUUCCUGGUUUGGGUUACAUUAGUACCUCAAAUGUAACCUCUAAGAGUCCUCACAACUCAGCCGAACGCAAUCCAAGGCUCGAUCGUAGUCUCGCUGCGAACAACAUCAAAAUGGCAUCAAAAUGCUAGUAUACGCAUUAAAAUACCCGAAAUCUAGUGAAUUCAGUUUUCUAACUGAAAUUCCUGCUUACCCCAGGUUAAAAUAUCCUCCAAACCAACUUCUAAGAGCACAAGUUCAGCUCAAAGUAGUUCGCAAACCUGCUGCGAAGACAUCCUUCCAAACUGCGUUGAGUUACUCAAGUAGGUUGCAAAUAGCUUCGAAAUAACUUCAUAAUAACUAAUUUACCUUAGUCCAGCCUUAAAGCAACUUUUCACUGAUAAUUCAUAGCCAAAAUAACUCCUCUUUACUACUGAAAACAGCCCCUACAUCAGUUGAAAGCAGGGAAAUCCAAUCAACUCAAAAUCCAAUACGAAACCACAAUCAAGAGAGAAGUUAAGCUAAUUACCUCUUCAAAGCUGAGAGUCAGCUUUCCCUGGUGAGAACCUCACAGAAAACUCAGUAAAGAUACUUCUCCCCACGACCCAACGACCUCCCCAGCGUUUCCAAACCAGCGAGCGACGAACGCGGCAAGAAAUAAGCUCGAUUCGGCGAUCUCCAAUUGAAGAGAGAGAAACCCUAGAGAGAGAAAGAGGGGAAGGUGCAAAGCUGCUUCUCAGGCCUCUAGCAACUUCCACUGAACACCAGGGGUUGAGCUGGAGUUAUGAAGAUAAGAUCAAAUGCCCAAAAGACCAAAAAAUCCUGCUGCCACGCAGCAGCUGCUGCUGCUGCUUGCUGUACCGGUACAGCAUAAUGCCUGUACCGGUACAUAAUGCAAAAUUCGAGAGAAAUGCCACAACAAUGCACUUUCUUGCUUUUAGCCAUCCAAUCACUCUCUGACUUGUCGAAAAACUUGCCCAAGCCCUUUUGAACAUGUAGGAUAGAUCCACAUAUUCUUCCUCACACUCGAACUUCUCAAUUUGCAUAAGUUCAGUGUAUUACAUUCACCACUUCUAAAAAGGGGUUUCGUCCGCGAAGCUUGUAAAUACUUAGUUCAAGAUUCCGUCGAGAAAAGAUAGGGGUAGUGUUCUUGCAUUGCACUCUCCAAUUCCCAAGUGGCAUCUCGUUCAUCAUGAUUGCUCCAAAGUAUCUUCACGUAGGGUAUUUCGCGAUUUCGAAGCCGUUUCACUUCUCGAGCUAGUAUUCUCACUGGAUGUUCCUCAAAACUCAGAUCUUCUCGCAAAUCCACUGGGGUACUCUCAAGUACGUGGGUUGGAUCAAAAACAUACUUUCGGAGUGUAGAUACAUGAAACACAUUGUGCACUCCCGAUAGGUUCGGCGGCAAAGCAAGCCGAUACGCUACGGGGCCUAUCCGCUCCAACACCUCGUAAGGUCCAAUAAAUCGAGGACUUAACUUUCCUCGAAUACCAAAUCUCUUAACUCCCUUUGUCGGUGAAACUUUUAAGAAUACAUGAUCGCAAUUUUGAAAUUCCAAUUCUCGCCGACGUUUAUCCGCAUAGCUUCUUUAUCGACUUUGAGCUGUCAGUAGAUGUUCUCGUGCAAAUCGAACUUUAGCUUCAGCCUCUUGUAACACAUCUGGACCCAAAACUAAUCUCUCCCCCACUUCACUCCAAUAAAGUGGUGAUCUACAUUUUCUGCCAUAAAGGGCUUCAAACGGUGCCAUCUGAAUGCUUGCUUGAUAACUAUUGUUAUAAGUAAAUUCAGCCAUCGGUAAGAACUGUGGCCAACUGCCCUGGUAAUCAAUCACACAGGCUCUCAACAUAUCCUCAAGGGUCUAGAUGGUACGCUCGGACUGCCCAUCACUCUGGAGGUGGAAAGCAGUACUAAAAUCCAAUCGAGUACCCAGAGCCUCCUGUAAAUUUCUCCAGAAGUGUGAAACAAAGCGGGUGUCUCGAUCUGAAACAAUAGAAGCAGGUACUACGUGUAAUUGCACAAUUUCAUCAAGAUACACUUGUGCGAGUCUUUCCCCCAACCAAACUGUAUGAAUUGGAAUAAAGUGAGCAGAUUUAGUCAAUCUAUCCACAAUUACCCAAAUUGCAUCAUGACCUGCCUGUGAGCGAGGUAAUCUAACAAUGAAAUCCAUAGUAAUCCUCUCCCACUUCCACACUGGUAAGGGUAAGCUUUGAAGUUUUCCAGCAGGAAGUCGAUGUUCAGCCUUAACCUGCUGACAGGUUAAGCAUCUGGCCACAAAAUCUGCAACUUCUUUUUUUAUUCCAGGCCACCAAUAAGUCAGCUCAAAUCUUUAUACAUUUUCGUACUCCCAGGGUGUAAAGCAUACGGCGCUCGAUGGGCUUCUGUUAAAAUUUCUUCUUUAACACCAGAAUCUGCCGGUACACAAAGUCUAUCACCAAAUUUCAACAGUCCUUGAUCAUCCGCUCGAAAAUCACUAACAUGAUCAGCAGUGAUCUUUGCUCGAAUCUUUUGUAGGAAUUCAUCCUGAGCUUGCUUUUCUUUAAUUCGAUCGAUUAGGGUAGGUCGCACCACCAAUGACAUAAGUCUCCAAGGUGUGUCAGGAGCUACAACUUCCAAAUUCAACUGCUCCAUUUCCUUUACCAACAGAGGUUGCAUAGUUAUCGACAUUGCCAAAUCUUUCGUCGAUUUUCGACUUAAAGCAUCUGCUACAACAUUAGCUUUUCCUGGAUGAUAGAGGAUAGUCAAAUCAUAAUCCUUGAGCAACUCCAACCAUCUACGUUGUCUCAAGUUUAAUUCUUUCUGAGUAAACAGAUACUUUAAGCUUUUAUGAUCCGUAUACACUUCGCAACGCUCGCCAUAGAGAUAGUGGCGGCAAAGCUUUAAAGCAAAUACCACGGCUGCUAACUCAAGAUCAUGUGUAGGGUAGUUCUUUUCAUAAUCUUUCAAUUGGCGAGAUGCAUAAACAAUUACUCUAUCAUUCUGCAUUAGAACACACCCUAAUCCAUUUAGCGACGCAUCGCUGUAAAUCACAUAAUCUACUCCAGUAACAGGUAGUGCUAAAAUCGGGGCGGUGGUCAAUUGCUCCUUCAGCUCUUGAAAGCUUCUUUCGCAAGCUUCAUUCCAUAGAAAUUUAGCUCCUUUAUGUGUAAGUCGAGUGAGAGACGUAGACAUCUUUGCAAAUCCUUCUACAAAUCUUCGGUAGUAUCCUGCCAAACCAAGAAAACUCCGAAUCUCGGUGACAUUAGUCGGCCUAGGCCAAUCUUUAAUCGCUUCAAUCUUCUUUAGGUCCACCGCGAUUCCUAUUUCAGAAAUUACAUAUCCCAAAAAUGCCACUUCUCGAAGCCAAAAUUCAUAUUUCUUUAACUUUGCAAACAAUUUCUUUUCUCGAAGUACUUGUAACACUACUCUUAGAUGGCUUUUAUGCUCCUCGUCACUCCGAGAAUAUAUCAACAUAUCGUCGAUAAACACGACCACAAACCUGUCUAAAUAGGGCUUAAAGACACCGUUCAUUAAAUCCAUAAAGGCUGUUGGGGCAUUUGUCAGUCCAAAUGGCAUAACUGUGAAUUCAUAAUGCUCAUACCGUGUCCUAAAAGCGGUCUUGGGAACCUCUUCAGGCUUAAUCUUAAGUUGAUGAUAACCUGAUUGCAAAUCGAUCUUAGAAUACACUUUCUAUCCUUGCAGCUGAUCGAAUAAAUCAUCGAUUCUGGGUAAUGGAUAUUUAUUCUUGAUUGUGACUUUGUUGAUUUCUCGAUAAUCCAUACACAAUCGAAGAGAUCCAUCCUUUUUCUUAACAAAUAAAACCGGGGCUCCCCAGGGAGAUACACUUGGUCGAAUAAAACUUUUAUCGAAUAAAUCUUGCAAUUGUACCUUCAGCUCUUUCAACUCAACGGGUGCCAUCCUAUAGGGUGCUUUUGAGAUUGGGAUAGUCCCAGGGACAAGAUCUAUCACAAACUCAACUUCCCUAUCAGGUGGCAUACCCGGCAACUCAGCUGGAAAUACAUCCUCGAAUUCUCGCAUAACUGGAAUAUCUUUAAUCUUGACAGCUCCUCCGUCACUCACCGAAAUGCUAGCCAAAUAGGCUACACACCCUCUUCGAAUCAACUAUCGUACUCGCGAAGAGCUAAUGGUCAUUGCGAACAAUGAACUCUGACACCCCUUAUAAACAAACUCUUGCUGACCCGGUUCUCUAAAGGUCACCGUUCUGCUCGUGCAAUUUAUGGUCGCAUAAUAUUAUGUUAGCCAAUCCAUACCCAAUACUACAUCAAACUCACCUAGUUUGUGUAGUGCCAAAAGAUCCACUGGCAUAAUCCAGUCGCCUACUCUAACGGGGCAGCGAGGGCAAAACUCACGAACAUCUAGGGUAUGGUCGAGCACGAUCACUCGUCCCGGAUGCAAAGUAGGUACUACCUGAAUGCUAUGCAACUCGACGAACUGCCGAUCAAUAAAAGAAUGCGAAGCACUAGUAUCAAAUAAAGCACGAACACGAACAUCAUAAAGUAUAAUGAUACCUGCUAUGACCUUCUCCGCUGCUGCAGCCUCCUCAGUCUCGGCAGCAUACAUGCGCCCACUCGAACUCUGUAGAGGACUCUCAGACUGCCGUUGUCCCGGUGAUCGUCUGUACUGCGAGGGUGCUGUCGGGGUCCCCUGGCUCGGAGCAGAAGAUGCAGGUGCUGAUGCUGAUGAUAGUGCAGGUGAAGGACCUCUCGGGCACUCUGAACGAUAGCGGCCCUCCUGGCCACUGAUAAAACACCUACCCCCACGUUGUGGACACUGUGGUGGAAAGUGAGGCCCACCACAAAUGACACAACGUGGCUGUCGACGACGCUCGGGUGCUCCACGGGAUGCUGAAGAACCUCGACCUCUAGACUGGCCCGGCUGGCCCCUGGGAUACUUCGGCGGUCUCCUGAAGGGUUGCUAACCACUGCUCUCAGCUGCUGGCCUUUUUCCUUUACUCUGAUCCACAACAUCUCUUUCCUUCAUAAUCUCCGCCCCCUUUUCCACAAUCAAAGCCCGGUUCACUACUUCCCUGUAAGUGGAAAGGUUUGACGCCUGGACCAAUCUGAAAAUCGCAGGCCGCAAACCUACCUCAAAAAUCCGAGCCUUAUCCUCAUCAUCUCGGACCACAAAAGGAACACAAUGCAGUAAUCGGAAGAACUCUCGCUCAUACUCAGCUAUUGUCCUGUCCCCCUGUCUCAGGUUUCUUAAAUCCCUUUCCAUUUGCCUUUUUACACUCUGAGGAAAAUAAGUAGUCAACAGUAAUUCCUUGAACCUCGUCCAGGUAAUAGCGGACAAAUCAGUACGAGGAUCCUCACGAAUAUCCACCCACCACCUGUAACCCUCGCCAUCGAGAUGGUGUGUCGCAAACCAAACCCGAUAUCCCUCAUCGACGAAAGUAUCAUAAAACAGUUUCUCCAUGUGCAUCAGCCAUUUCUCGACCACCCAAUGAUCAGCUUUUUCUCCGUCAAAAAUACGAGGGUUGCAACGACGAAAUUCAUUCAAUUGUUCCAUCAUCCGCUCUCGCUCCUCAGCCCCCACCAUCUCUGGUAACACUGUCCCUGAUGCCGCUACAGAUACUGGUGGUCGUACUACUGUCUCCUGUCGGGUCUCUACCCUCGGAGCUACUGGGGGUGUGUCAAGUAUUGGUGACUGUGCUCUCACUGUCGCAUCCCUGUCUGGUACUGUAGGUAUAGGAUCAGGAAUAUCCCUGUCAGUCGUCUGCCGCAGUAGUAAAUCCUCUAAUCUCUUCAUCCUGUCCUCAUGCCGACGCACGGCAUCCAUCUGCUGUCGCGCUGCCGCAGCCUGCUGAGCAAUCAAAUCCGUCAGCUUCGUGAGCUGAUCUUGCAACUCAUGGAUCCCACUAGAUCCAGAAGUAACGGAGGUCCCCACUUCCUCCGCAUCCGCCGCCUCAGCUGCCCCGGCGGCUUGCAAACGAGUUAAAGGCAUCUUGAGCUGCAGCACAAAAAGAAAAAUAGAUUAAUAAAACCUAUACUAUUAAACCUUUACUUCAGGUAUAAACCAACUAAUCAAGCGAAAGUAAUGAAAUGUAACGCGUACUAACUUCCGAUGUCACAUUGUUGGCCGCCAAUGUGGCCCUCUGCAAAGUUAGUAAUUGCACAUUCCGAUCAAACUCCUACCAUUCGGAGUUUAUCAAUCACCCAAUCAAAGUACUUUCGCUACCAACAACCUCAACUAGACCUCGUCUCUCACGAGCCUAUUCUUAUAGUCCAACCAGCCUAAGGUUUGCUAGGUCUACUAAGACGCAACCCUAGGCUCUGAUACCACUAUAAUCUGUCACGCCCGGGUACCAGCGAAAGCAUAUCCGGUACGUGCACAGACCCGCCAUACACCUACAGUAUAGAAGGCGUCUACAAGAAAGCGAGUCGAUAGGAGAAAACAUAGAAAAUUCCUAUCAUGAUAUCAGAGCAUGUAUAAGUCAAUAGGACUAUCAACAAAAGAACAAGAAUAUCCAACUCAAAAUAUAAGUACAAAAGAAAGUACUAAAACUAUAACAUCUGGAUCCAAAGACUCAUAUACAACACAGGGUACACAAAAUAUCUGUACAAUGGUAGCCUCUCUAUACAGUGGACAUCACCCUCGGCCGCAGCCCGAGUAGCAAGGUGAUCGACUAGCACGCUCCUAGCAAGGUCUAGCUAGACGCGACUCCCUUGCCACGAUCUCUAGCCUCUCUUGUAGAUAGCUCUAUAAAAACAACCAUAAAAAGGGCGUGAGAACUAUUAACAAUAGUUCCCAGUGGGUAAGCCGCCAGCCUCGGCGAAUUACACCACUAGGCUCAUGAUGUACUAAAUGAAAGGAAAAGCGAUAAUUGCAUGAUAUAUAUAUGCAGUGUUAACAGGUAAUCGGCAUAUAAUCAACAUGUAAACAUGAUUUCUACAGUAAUGAAUCAACUAAAUAAUCGAAGUAUAGCAACUACUAUAAACAUGAGCACAAAUAUGGAUGUGUAAGUUAAUACUAUACACUAUAACUGACGAGCAUUCAUUACUGUCUUUUGUCAUUUAGUACUUUUAUUUCAUUCGUAAGGACCUACUCAAAGUAGUCCAGCUUGCACCGCGCCUAAUGGCCCCGUGGUAAUAUACACUCCCCACAGCAAUCCACUUCGGCACCCAAUCCCGCACGGGCGAGCAACUGUCGCAUAGGCCAACUCCGGAGUGCCGGCUUGUAGGGAGCGACCCUCACAAGCGUGUGGAAUGAGCACGAUGGCAAGCAAGCAAAGUACAUAGUCCAACAUAGCUCAAACAUUAUGGCAUAGUAUGCCAUGUUCUUACUCUCGAUCUAUUGAUCGGAAUUCUUAAUAUAAUAACAAUGACAAUAGCUAGCAUCCACUAGUAAGCACAUGGAAGUAAUGCUAAUUCAUAUAUGGCAUUAGAACUUUCUAAUCUCCAGGUACUAUCAAAACAGUCACAAGUAAUGUCAUUGUUGUCUAUUAUACUAAAGCAUAAUUAUUAUGUCCAUUAGUUACUCAAUUGAACUAAACAUAAACACGAGCAUAAAUACAAAUAUGCAUGAGUUCUCUCUACUUCAUGGAGGUUCUAUUUCCCUUAUGUCAAACGUUAUAGCACAGAUGUUCCAAAUCCUUUAGCGACCAUAUAGUGACAAAACGCACGACUAUAUCAAUUAUAUAGUAACAUAUAGAACAUAGGGGGAGCUUCACUUGCUCUGGUUAGAUCAAACCCACCUAUUACUAGGCUCAAAUCAGUUCCACGACGUCUCGAAAUUCAGCUCUACUAGACUUCAACCCUGCUGAAAACAAUACAUCAGAACCGCGUCGAGUCGAUUAAUUAAGAAUCCAAUUUCGGCAAAACUCUUAAGUAGAAUAAGGUAGUAACUUGAAUUCCUGGUUUGGGUUACAUUAGUACCUCAAAUGUAACCUCUAAGAGUCCUC